Mytilus californianus (California mussel) is the source of this 590-nucleotide long non-coding RNA. RefSeq lists it as uncharacterized. The transcript has 2 exons. The record is from RefSeq and is a predicted model, not a curated record. NCBI's taxonomy places the organism in Eukaryota, Metazoa, Mollusca, Bivalvia, Mytilida, Mytilidae.
UAUGAAUCGACAGCUUCAAAAUGGUAUCAUUGGUAUUACUGACCAGCUAUUUACUUGUUUUGGCAUCGGUUGGUAUUCAGGAGUGCAGUGCCAAAUGGAAUGGAAACAAUAAACCUGCCUUUUUCGCAACCUUGAAGGAUAUUCAAAAUCUUUAUACCAACACCGUCCUGAAGUUUACACGUGUGAAGACCAACAUUGGGUAUGGAUAUGAUUCCAGAACUGGAAAAUUCAAAACACCCAGGUCUGGGGUAUAUGAAUUUAAUACAAGUUUCAUAACAAAUGGCAACAACUGGCUUGAAUUAAAUUUGAUGAAAAAUGGAGAAUUUAUCGUCAGAUCACAUUCUCACAGGUCCCAUGGUUCCACAGGGACUUUAAAUGUUAUACUGAAACUACGGAAAGGUGACGAGGUAUAUAUUCAACAUCCACGUGGUUUUGGUUCAAUCUAUGGAUGGGAUUACUCCAUGUUUUCCGGACAUAUGUUAUGAUCUUAUAGUUUAUGAUAUAAUCAUUAAAAUCAUAGAACUUGCUAUGUACAUAAUUGUUUAUUUUGUUAUUGUCAAUUGUUGAAAGUAAAUCAUAGCAUUACAUUA